AUUGAACGCUGGCGGCGUGCCUAACACAUGCAAGUCGAGCGGUAACAGGUGUAGCAAUACAUGCUGACGAGCGGCGAACGGGUGAGUAAUGCUUCGGAAUCUGCCCAUGUAGUGGGGAAUAACCAGCCGAAAGGUUGGCUAAUACCGCAUACGACCUACGGGUGAAAGCAGGGGAUCGCAAGACCUUGCGCUAUUGGAUGAGCCGAAGUCGGAUAGCUAGUUGGUAGGGUAACGGCCGUACCAAGGCGACGAUCCGUAGCUGGUCUGAGAGGACGACCAGCCACACUGGGACGUGAGACACGGCCCA
Molecule: ribosomal RNA, 307 nt
Filed under: uncultured bacterium
Lineage: Bacteria
Description: bacterial SSU rRNA
Rfam family: Bacterial small subunit ribosomal RNA
Source: RNAcentral